RNAcentral lists this ribosomal RNA (425 nucleotides) under uncultured bacterium. Its description in RNAcentral is "partial 16S ribosomal RNA". It matches the Rfam family "Bacterial small subunit ribosomal RNA", at positions 354 to 796 of the family's 1533-position model. The record is from RNAcentral.
GUGGGGAAUAUUGGACAAUGGGCGAAAGCCUGAUCCAGCAAUGCCGCGUGAGUGAUGAAGGCCUUAGGGUUGUAAAGCUCUUUUACCAGGGAUGAUAAUGACAGUACCUGGAGAAUAAGCUCCGGCUAACUCCGUGCCAGCAGCCGCGGUAAUAUGGAGGGAGCUAGCGUUGUUCGGAAUUACUGGGCGUAAAGCGCACGUAGGCGGUUACUCAAGUCAGAGGUGAAAGCCCGGGGCUCAACCCCGGAACUGCCUUUGAAACUAGGUAACUGGAAUCUUGGAGAGGUCAGUGGAAUUCCGAGUGUAGAGGUGAAAUUCGUAGAUAUUCGGAAGAACACCAGUGGCGAAGGCGACUGACUGGACAAGUAUUGACGCUGAGGUGCGAAAGCGUGGGGAGCAAACAGGAUUAGAAACCCCAGUAGUCC